CCUACGGGUGGCAGCAGUGAGGAAUAUUGGUCAAUGGGCGGGAGCCUGAACCAGCCAAGCCGCGUGUGGGAAGAAGGUACAGCGUAUCGUAAACCUCUUUUGUCAGGGCACAAAGGCGGUGACUAGUCCCCGGAUGAGGGUACCUGACGAAAAAGCAUCGGCUAACUCCGUGCCAGCAGACGCGGUAAUAGGGGGGAUGCGAGCGUUAUCCGGAUUUAUUGGGGUUAAAGGGUGGGCAGGCGGCCUGUUAAGUCAGCGGGAAAAGCCCGGGGCUCAACCCCGGCGAGCCGGUGAAACUGGCGGGCUGGAGUUGGAGAGAAGUACGCGGAAUGCGCGGUGUAGCGGUGAAAUGCUUAGAGA
Molecule: ribosomal RNA, 360 nt
Filed under: uncultured bacterium
Lineage: Bacteria
Description: partial 16S ribosomal RNA
Rfam family: Bacterial small subunit ribosomal RNA
Source: RNAcentral